Molecule: ribosomal RNA, 745 nt
Filed under: Lachnoclostridium sp. An138
Lineage: Bacteria; Bacillati; Bacillota; Clostridia; Lachnospirales; Lachnospiraceae
Description: bacterial LSU rRNA
Rfam family: Bacterial large subunit ribosomal RNA
Source: RNAcentral
UGGAGCCGCUGUUGGGAUACCACCCUUGCAGUAUUGGGUUUCUAACCAGCCGCCGUGAUCCGGCGGUGGGACAAUGUCAGGCGGGGAGUUUGACUGGGGCGGUCGCCUCCGAAAGGGUAUCGGAGGCGCUCAAAGGUUCCCUCAGAAUGGUUGGAAACCAUUCGAAGAGUGUAAAGGCAGAAGGGAGCUUGACUGUGACACCGACGGGUGGAGCAGGUACGAAAGUAGGACUUAGUGAUCCGGUGGUAUUAAGUGGGAAUGCCAUCGCUCAACGGAUAAAAGCUACCCUGGGGAUAACAGGCUUAUCACUCCCAAGAGUUCACAUCGACGGAGUGGUUUGGCACCUCGAUGUCGGCUCAUCGCAUCCUGGGGCUGUAGUAGGUCCCAAGGGUUGGGCUGUUCGCCCAUUAAAGCGGUACGCGAGCUGGGUUCAGAACGUCGUGAGACAGUUCGGUCCCUAUCCGGCGUGGGCGCAGGAUAUUUGAGAGGAGCUGUCCUUAGUACGAGAGGACCGGGAUGGACUGACCGCUGGUGUACCGGCUGCAUCACCAGAUGCACCGCCGGGUAGCCAAGUCGGGACGGGAUAAACGCUGAAGGCAUCUAAGCGUGAAGCCCCCCUCAAGAUGAGAUAUCCCAUUCGAAAGAAGUAAGACCCCUUGAAGACGACAAGGUAGAUAGGGCAGAGGUGGAAGCACGGUAACGUGUGGAGCUGACUGUUACUAAUAGGUCGAGGGCUUGACCAAAA